RNAcentral lists this ribosomal RNA (947 nucleotides) under uncultured bacterium. RNAcentral describes it as "bacterial SSU rRNA". It matches the Rfam family "Bacterial small subunit ribosomal RNA", at positions 8 to 853 of the family's 1533-position model. The record is from RNAcentral.
AGAGUUUGAUCCUGGCUCAGGACGAACGCUGGCGGCGCGCCUAACACAUGCAAGUCGAACGGAGUUAUUUUCUUCACUCCGAGCUUUUUGCCAGCUAGCCGGAGCGGCAAUCGGUUUUGCCCAGCAUAAAAAGCAAAACCGAUUUAGGCUCAUAAAGUAAGACUAACACAGAGGGCAGAGAGUUGGGAGUGAAGAAAAUAACUUAGUGGCGAACGGGUGAGUAACGCGUGAGUAACCUGCCCUGGAGUGGGGGACAACAGUUGGAAACGACUGCUAAUACCGCAUAAGCCCACGGCCCGGCAUCGGGCUGAGGGAAAAGGAUUUAUUCGCUUCAGGAUGGACUCGCGUCCAAUUAGCUAGUUGGUGAGGUAACGGCCCACCAAGGCGACGAUUGGUAGCCGGACUGAGAGGUUGAACGGCCACAUUGGGACUGAGACACGGCCCAGACUCCUACGGGAGGCAGCAGUGGGGGAUAUUGCACAAUGGGGGAAACCCUGAUGCAGCGACGCCGCGUGGAGGAAGAAGGUUUUCGGAUUGUAAACUCCUGUCGUUAGGGACGACAAUGACGGUACCUAACAAGAAAGCACCGGCUAACUACGUGCCAGCAGCCGCGGUAAAACGUAGGGUGCAAGCGUUGUCCGGAAUUACUGGGUGUAAAGGGAGCGCAGGCGGACCGGCAAGUUGGAAGUGAAAACUAUGGGCUCAACCCAUAAAUUGCUUUCAAAACUGCUGGCCUUGAGUAGUGCAGAGGUAGGUGGAAUUCCCGGUGUAGCGGUGGAAUGCGUAGAUAUCGGGAGGAACACCAGUGGCGAAGGCGACCUACUGGGCACCAACUGACGCUGAGGCUCGAAAGCAUGGGUAGCAAACAGGAUUAGAUACCCUGGUAGUCCAUGCCGUAAACGAUGAUUACUAGGUGUUGGAGGAUUGACCCCUUCAGUGCCGCAGUU